This is a long non-coding RNA of Carassius gibelio (silver crucian carp), 819 nucleotides long. RefSeq lists it as uncharacterized. NCBI's taxonomy places the organism in Eukaryota, Metazoa, Chordata, Actinopteri, Cypriniformes, Cyprinidae. The record is from RefSeq and is a predicted model, not a curated record. The transcript is spliced from 3 exons.
CUGGCUGCUGAUUGACUUGCUGCUGGUUGACUCGGCAGUGUCACCUGUCCCUGUCUCUCCUCUCUAGCCAUGUCCUUUUUCUUCACUCUCACUUUCCUUUCUCUGAGUGUCCUCGUUCUUUUUUCCUCAACCUUUGAAACUGAUCGAGGUCUAGGGGUGCAUCGUGGAGCAGGGCCCUCCUCUUUUUGACCACAGGACGAUGUACAAAGAUUGUGGGAAUAGCAUCUGACCUCAGCCUACUCUUGAAUUUUUUGGUCAUGACAAAUUGCUUUGCCGCAAUUUGUCUGCAUACUGACUUCAGUUUUGUUUACACACACACCUUUUUUUUUGUCUACGCACAUACAGUACAUAUCACAUGGUGGUUAAAUGCACAGUUAUAGGUAACACUGAUGACUCCCUGCAAUGUCUCACCGUGAGUCUCAGCUCCCUGGGUUUUGCAAGGAUUGCUCCUGCUGACUUGAGCCAACCAUUAUUUUCUCCUCUCUAUGUCAGCGGGGAAGCCAUACAUUCGCACACCUUUCUCUGACUGAGUGGAGCAUCCCCAUGCAGCACAGUAAACCACGGUGGAGACUAUGCAAGGACAACAUUAAAGAAAGGACACAUACAAAAUGCUUGUCAUGCUAUUAAAUUGAUUAGAAAUGUAUUCAUGAAUUGCUGUAAAUAGUUAAUUGUAUAAUUACAAUUUAAAAUAACUGUUUUCUAUUUUAAAAUGGAAUAUACUCCUGUGAUGCCAACCUGAAUUUUCAGCAUCAUUACUUUUGAAUGGCAGUGUACAUGUUUAUAUACGAGUAUGCUUAAGUUGUUUUAAACCUGAAUAUA